AUCUAGCCAUGCCGCGUGCAGGAAGACUGCCCUAUGGGUUGUAAACUGCUUUUAUCAGGGAAGAAAAUACUCUUGCGAGAGGGAUUGCCGGUACCUGAUGAAU
This 103-nucleotide ribosomal RNA is filed under the name uncultured bacterium. RNAcentral's name for it is "partial 16S ribosomal RNA". The record is from RNAcentral.